This is a long non-coding RNA of Onychomys torridus (southern grasshopper mouse), 3539 nucleotides long. RefSeq lists it as uncharacterized. The transcript has 13 exons. The record is from RefSeq and is a predicted model, not a curated record. Lineage: Eukaryota; Metazoa; Chordata; Mammalia; Rodentia; Cricetidae.
UUACCAGUCAGGCUCCUGGCUAGAUUCCAGGUACCAGCUGGUACCUGAUCUAGCCAUAGCCUGACAGUAAACUGCCCCAGAGAAGGAAGACUGUUCCUGACACCUGCGAGAGACAGCCAAAGGAGACUUAGCAUACGUGGGGGGCAUGCUGGGAUUCCUCCUACACCUUCUCUGAGUCACCUGCUCCUAUUUACUGUGCAGGAAAUGUGUUCCUGCUGUUUAAGCCUCUUCUCCUUUAAGGUUUGUCAUCCCUGUCCUGGUACUAGAGUUCUGCAUCAUCGGCAGGGAGGAUGAUGCACUGUGGGAAUCAUUUCCUGACAAAGACAAGGAAUCUAAUCAAGAGGUAACAGUUGAAUAAGCUGAAUAGCUUCAUGUACAUCUUCAAGAAAAUUGCAGGAAGCAGACCAGUUGUAAAAACAUAAUUUCUCUACCUAGUUUGCUGAGUGUUUUCCUAUGAAAUGGCUGUGGAUUUGUGAAGCAUAUGCUGUCUCUCCCUUUAACUCAUGGCAUGUAAGUUUUCCAGGAAGUUAAUCCACAAUACCACCACAUGACCUUGAAUGGAGACAAGGGCAGAUGAGUUUCAAUGCAGAUAUCCUUCAUGGAUCUCAAUCUGGAUUCCUGAACAGAAAACAAUAAAUGUGUGCACUUGGAAGUCAAGGUCUUAAUCAAGACAGCCCAGACAGAAAUGGAGGCCUUCCUCUAGAAGUCCAUGAUAGAGUCCAAAGCAGCCAGAUACAUGCUCAACUCCUAUGUACCACUAGAUGAUUUUGCCUGUUGUCAGUUGCAGCAAAACUCAUGCCAAACUGAGACAUCAGGAAGCAAUCUAAGUUCUUGUGAAGAACCUCAAAGAACCCAGACUGAUGCUAGGACAGAAGAUUACACUCUGCAAAUUGACAGCGGGCCUCAGUUGCUGAGGACAACACCCUCACACCCUGCAGAACAUGGAGCAGUCAAGCUAGUGCCUGCUUGGAGCCUUCACACCUGCAUUCUAGUCUCUUUGUGAAUUGAUCCUGACUGGACGUGCAUCAAACCUGAUGAACAACAAAAUGAACGUGAAAGAUGACCCUGUCCUGUUGAUGGUUAAAUUCAGUCCUCAACCUUACCCAUGAUCCACAUCUGCCUUGAAAAACAGAAAGACUCUGAAGAUCAUAGACAAGGAAGAGUUGGGAUGAAGUGUUUCAGUCCUUAAAAACCAUGGUCAGAAAAAUAGGAAUAUUAACAUGGGAACUUAGGUGAAGGAAAUUCAUUGCAUGUAAAGGAACAAGAAGAAGAUUCUACCAUGGAACAAGUGUGUGAGAUCCUGGAGCUUACCAUGAUGCCACAGGUGAAUACCCCCAGUAGCUGAAUGGAUAUCUUCGAGGAAAUUGCAAGAGCCAUAGACCUGGAAACAGUAAUGGUUUAAUGACCUUUCUUUCUUUUAACUCUAAUUCAAAUGGAUGGUCACUCAACAUAAAAUAUCAGUAAUUCAUCAUGUCAUUCAAAUAGUUGUUGUGAUAAUCUGAAAAAAAAAUAUUAAACCAAUCACUAUAGUAAACAAAUCAUUUUUUUUACUUUACUGAAAUAUUAUUUGAAAUGUUUUAUCAUUCUAGACAAGACUGUAGCCAGACAUUCAUAGUUUUACAUGUAAAACUGGAUAAAAAGAUAAAAAUAUUUUAUUUCACUAAUGAAACUAUGUUUUCACAUCAGUACAGAUUAUAUAUUACCUAGAAAACCAUCACAAUAUAACUAUACUUAGAUACUCCAAUAUUAUAAUUGCCAAAAUUCUGUUCAUAAGCCUAUUAAAAAAGAGACCAUCCAUAUUAUAGCAUUCAUAGGGGCUGUCAUAGAUUAGAAAUGAAAUUCUAUAAGGAAUGUUAUAUAAAAUUCUUUAAAACGUGCUUCACCAUUAGUAAAGCAUCCUAUCGGCACAGAUGAUGUCAGUGUGCAGAAAAUGAUAGAUAAGCAGACAGGACAAAUUUUCUCAGAGUUGGACCUAAAGAGAAAAUUUAAAAUUUUAAAGAUUUCUGCUAUUUUAAUUAUAAAAAGCAAUCUAACUACAUUUAUAUCUAUAAAUACAAUAUAUUUUAAUGCAAUUAUAUAACAAAAUCUUAAGAAAUAUAUGUGCUUUGGUGGAACAAUUUCUCAGUAAUUAAGAACACUUGUACCUCUUCCAGAUAUCCUGAGUUCUAAUCCCCAUAACCUAACUACAGCUAACUGCUGUCUUCAUCCCUAGGACUAGUGUAUCUCUUUCCUCCAUAAGGCCUCCAUACAAACAAGCCGUAGACAUACAUGUUGGCAAAGAACGCUUGCACAUGGAAUAAAAUAAAAUAAAUGCUGAGAAAAUAAGAAAUGUAAGUUUUAAGAAAGUUUCAUCUCUAAUUUUGCCAGUGGUUGUUUUUCAUUAUACAAGAAGUUAAGAUAUGAUAAUUCAUGAAAAUGACACAGUUUUUAGAUGUUCAGAGUGUAACUUAGGUAAAUAUAUAGCUUAAUUCACUGUAAUUUUUAGUUCUCACAAUAUGUUAGGAAGUGGUCAUUAUUUCCUCUUCCUAAGCCCAAUUCUGAAUCUAUGAUGAAUCCCUUAAAAAAUAAAAAAACUUAUGCAUAAAAUAUUUCAGCUCUCCAUUUUAGUUGGUAGAAUAGUUCCUUUGUAUACAAAACUGUUGGGUAAUUGUUACCUCUGAGUUGAAGAGAGGAAGGUUGUUUAUAGAACCAAGUAACAUAAGCGCCAUAGGACAAUCAACCAGUUCAGCAAAUUUGUAGGUUCAUAAAGGACAGCUAACUAACUGGUCUAUAGUGGAGUUGCCUCCAGAUUGAAUAGAGUGCUGUAGGAAUGUGGGUUUCAGGAGCUUUCUCCCACAGUCCUGUGGGUUGUUGUGUCACACAUGCUUCCACAUGGUUCUGUACAUAACAUCAUUAAACCUGUUGGAAUUUACAGGAUCUUUUUAAUAUUUGACUUGUCAUCUAUGUCCUGUCUUGUUGAAACUGAUCUUUCCUUUGUCAUUCCAGGAAAAGAUACACAGAAAGAAAUUACACCCAGACCUACUUGAAGAAUGUUUCCUUGCUAGUUUUCAAUGAAGUCACAUUGCAUUUCAUAGGCUUUAUAUUUAUGUGUGCUCAGUUCUUCCUUGUGCCUUAUGUGUUGGCCAGGUAGGACUCGAACUUGUACACUCAUGUGAUGCUUCUGACUCAGACCCUAGUGACCUGUGAAGACAGGAGCAUGUGACCACAUAUGACCAGUUAAUCCUCAAAACUGCCACAUACCCUGAAGGGGGACAUGGCCAGAUCAGCCUCUAUGAGACAUCAUUCUUGGAUCUCCUUCUGGAUUCCUGAGCAGGAAACAAUCUCACUGGGUUGCUCACUGUGGUCGCAAACUUGUCCCUGAAGCCAUGCUUCCUCUCAGCAUUAUGAGAAGCUCCCAAUUCAGAUGCAUGCAACAACACUCAGCUGAUGAGUCUCACUGUGCUGCUCACUGCUGUCUCAAACUCACCUCUUGAACCUCACUUCUCCUCAGCAUCAUGAGAAGUUCCCACCACAGAUGUCUACAACCACACUCAGCUGAU